Molecule: long non-coding RNA, 636 nt
Organism: Zea mays
Lineage: Eukaryota; Viridiplantae; Streptophyta; Magnoliopsida; Poales; Poaceae
Exons: 2
Source: RefSeq, a predicted model, not a curated record
ACUCGGGUGUGUGGAGUGGGCCGUGGGCGAGCGGCGAGAAGGGGUACGACGGCGCCAUUGCAAUUGCGACGGAGGGACAGCCGAGAUAAAUGCACAACUGAACUUACUACUCGUCUGCGCUCUCGCGCUCAAUAGGAUCAACAGCUGGCAGCUGGCCAACAGGAAGCCAAUUGCAACACCAGGAAGCUAGUAUUUGCAAGUUGCAGCUUGUAUGCGUAGGAACUAAAAAGCUGGUAUUUGUAACUUGCAGGAUGCAAACAACUCUUAAUGUUCACGUAAUACUCAUGAAACACCGGGACGAUGAUACAACUUCCAUGGCCGGCGUGUCCCUGGGCUGGGCUUAUGAUGCGGACGAGGCGCCACUGUCCAGCAUUACAUCGCCCAACGCGAUCUCGCCUAAAGUGGCGGUCGGCGCGGCCUUGGCCAGCGCGCACAGGGCCGAGCUCGAUGGAAGCCCGACGGACAGUGCAGCAGGGGUGAGCCUGAGGGCCUGGACAGGGUAUAGGGUGGUCGUGGCCAAGACGGUGGCCAGUCGUCCAUGGCGGCGUGGAGACAGAACGCGCACACAAGAUAAUUUGGUCUCCUUAGGUACAAAAUACAGGGAAAGAAGUAAUAAAAGGAAGAUUAUAUAGUAAA